AAAAAAAAAAAGCCUCGCGUGUGAGAAUGUCUAAAGAUGAGUUUCUGUCAAAAUUCCAAAUAUCAGGACAUAGGUUCAUUUAUGUAAACCAGUAAUAUGAGUGAUGAAUGCUAAGAAAGCAUCUAAUGCCAUUGAUCUGGGUGCAAUCCAAGUCACUUAUUCCAUUCUCUUUAGCUUUCACCAUCCUCUUGUCGUAUCUUAUCUUUACCUCCUGAUUCUAUUUCUUUUUCACACUUCAAACUCACUACUCUGCACUAUAAAUAUAUAUACACUAUGUUCUAGUCGAAGCAUAGCAGAGGCCAGAAGGAGUUGAUCAAAUACAAACCCUUCUUUGUGUAGGGUUUUCCAGAAACCAAUGGCAUCAUUAAAAGCUGAGAAACCUGCUGGAACUCAAACUUUCGGGCAGGGCAAGAAGGAACCUGCAGCCAAGGCUACUGAUGGUGCCUCCAAAUCUGCAGCUUCCAGGUCCUCUUCUUCCAAGAAGGCUGCACCAAAGGAAUCCAAGAAGAAGGGAAAAGGUGGCAAAUCAGGGAAGAACUAAUCACAGAGCCUUGCACACGAUGUGUGAAAGCAGCAGUUAAAUUGAAGACAAUUAGUUGUUUUAUGCACUUAUUUUAAGGUUUUUUUUUUGAACUCAAAAAAUGUGUGACCAUAUGCAAAUGUAAGUCAGCUUCCUGGACUUGCUCUAUUGAAAUAAAAUAUUGCAUUUGAAACUCA
Hevea brasiliensis (rubber tree) is the source of this 717-nucleotide long non-coding RNA. RefSeq lists it as uncharacterized. Lineage: Eukaryota; Viridiplantae; Streptophyta; Magnoliopsida; Malpighiales; Euphorbiaceae. The transcript is spliced from 2 exons. The record is from RefSeq and is a predicted model, not a curated record.